This 386-nucleotide long non-coding RNA is filed under the name Elaeis guineensis (African oil palm). Its description in RNAcentral is "long non-coding RNA (EGUI_LNC076374)". Lineage: Eukaryota; Viridiplantae; Streptophyta; Magnoliopsida; Arecales; Arecaceae. The record is from RNAcentral.
UGUAAUAUGAUCUAAACAUAAACAACAUCUAAUGCUAGGCCAUAUCAAAAGAACUAGAUUAGUGAAUCAGAAGAAUGAGUUCACCAGACAUGUAAUCAUUUCAUAACAACAUGUAAAUAGCAUUGAAUUCUUCAUUUAUAGGUUUCAUGAAGCAUCUUCAUAUCAUUGGCAAUUUGACAGGAAUAAAAACCUUUUACAUGACAUCAUCAUAAUAUUAGAAAGUAUACAUCUAGAAUUGAUCGUGAAAUUAUGCACCGAGGCAUAGCUUUGCAGAAAUUAAGCAGAAAACUUUUUGACAAUCUUUGCAUAACUCCAGCUAAGUAAAAAUUCAGCAAUUUCACAUCAUGUCAUUAUGAUUACAGAAGACAUUCAUCUAGGAUUGACCA